UGACUAGAUCUGACACUCGUCCA
Molecule: microRNA, 23 nt
Filed under: Daphnia pulex (common water flea)
Lineage: Eukaryota; Metazoa; Arthropoda; Branchiopoda; Diplostraca; Daphniidae
Also listed under: 1 other name
Source: RNAcentral